GUUAAUUAAACAAUUUGGUGUUUAAUAGAACCUCUGUUGCACUACGCGGUUGCUAACCUCUCUGUUAAGGAGAAAGUAAGAGCAUGCAUCGGGACUGAGUUCAUGUCGGUGGUGUGAAGAGCGUGAAACUGACUCAGGGACCGAUGACGUUACGGCCGUAGUGCUCCGUCGAUCAAUGCGGCGGCGAACGAAAGUCGGUGUGCUAGAGAUACCGCGAGCCAAUUAUAGCAGAUGCUACACUAGUCCGAUCCUAGCACCACAUUCAAGAAGGUUUCGUGUGUGUUUCAACGUCUACUAGACACACAACCUUGAGUGGAGAUCACUGUGUUCGGAGAUUCUAAGUGAGGACUUCCACUAAACAUCGGGCGGUCGGAUGAUGCUGUAUCGGGCAUUGCUGGCGAUCUUCCCAACUCUUCUGACAAUUCUACACUUGCCUCAAGCAACAUCGCAGAUCCACAAUGGUCUGAGCAGACGUGAACUGCUUGACCAGAUAUUGAAGAAUUCAUCACAUGAUCCCAGAAUUCCUCCUGAUUACGAAAGAGACCAGCCGACGAAUGUUACCCUCCAGAUCCACAUACUCAGCUUCGAUUCCAUCAACGAAGGGUCUAUGGAUUAUUCAAUCAACAUAUACCUCCGUGAGAAAUGGAUCGACAGUCGGCUGGCUUUCAUGAACUAUACAAAAUCUGAUUGGCUCGAACUGGAUACCCGGAUGUUAGAUCAGGUGUGGGUCCCUGAUGUAUAUUUCCAGAAUGAAAAGAAGGCUGCUUUCCACAAUAUUACUGUACCCAACAGACUCAUACAUCUUUACAGGAACGGCACAGUUAAUUACAGUCUAAGGCUGUCCAUGACGCUGAGCUGUCACAUGUUCCUGGACCGCUACCCCAUGGACUCACAGAGUUGUCCCAUCAUCAUCCAAAGUUACACAUACACAACAGAUAACGUGGUGUUCUCCUGGACUCCCUUCAACCCUAUAACAACCAACACGAACAUGGAGCUACCGCAGUUCAACUUCCAGAAGUAUGAGAUAGUGGAGUGCCGGGACGUAUAUGAAAAAAGAUUCGCCUGCAUAAUGGCCAACUUCAAACUAAAACGAGACAUGGGCUAUUUCAUCCUUCAAGUGUACGUGCCCAGUGUUCUAAUAGUAAUCCUGUCAUGGAUAUCUUUCUGGAUAGACAUUGGAGCUGUCCCUGCUCGAAUUUCAUUGGGCGUCCUCACCGUGCUCACUAUGACAACGCAGAGUUCCGGUGCACAGUCGUCACUUCCGCGUGUCUCGUAUGUCAAGGCUAUCGAUGUCUGGAUGUCGAUAUGCUUGUUCUUCGUCUUUACAGCUCUACUCGAGUAUGCAUAUGUUAAUGUACAAACACGACGGGCUCAAAACCACCCAGAAAGAUAUAAAACUAAAACCAAGUCACCCGAUACCAGCAGAUUACAGCCAUCAGAAAGUGACAGAGAAACAGCUACCACGGUACGGAAGUCAUUUAUAGCAGCGCGUCAGCUGGACAAAUUUUCACGAUGGAUGUUCCCCCUGAUGUUCAUCCUUUUCAAUAUAUUGUAUUGGUGUAUAUACCUGCACGUUGACUGAAAAACGUUAUAUGUGUCUUGAAUUUACAUUGGACUGUUUUCACUUUUGACUGAUGUACAAUGUAUGCACAGUGUUGGCGACUGAAUAACGUCAUUUCAUGACACAUUUUAUGAAAUACUUUACAUUUUUUAGUAUAUUAUUUUUAUACAUAUCUGUACAUUAAACGUUAACGUUAUGGGUGUCUGUUGCAUAUAUGCAAACGCAUAAUUGAUAUCGAUAUGAACAUCGAUUAUCAUUAGCAUGUAUAUCUGGAACAACUUUAACAUAUUGCUGUUGGAAAAUAAUCCUUUUUAUGCUUCGAAUUAAGGCUAUAGAAGUCACAAAUCGCCGUGGUUCAUUUCUUUGAUAUUUCGAUUUUUAGUGCGGUAUUUUAAGAUGAAACUAUUGUGCAACAUUACACAUUGUAACAUGGUGUACUAAUCUCGGCCAGCUCGAUAAGUAAUAACGGUAGGAACAGAUAUUUCUUUUGUAUGUUUAGUCCUUGAUAUACGUUAUCAUAUUAGCAAGUUUUUAUUUCGGAAGAAUAUAAUUUGACUGUUAUGAAGUCGAUGGAUAUAAUUUCGGUACGUCACAAAGUUUUACCCAAUGUUAGAAGGCGUUUUUCAAUUGUGUUCCUCUAUCUAACCCAACAAACGUGUACAUCUGUACACAUUAUCAAGUGCCUAUCUAUGACGACAAGUCGUGUAUGUUUCACUGAUGAUAUGAUGUGGUGAUAUCAAUGUUUAUCAGUAGCUGUUGACUUCUCUUGAAGUCAUGUCAAAUUUCAGUGUUAGUCGAGCUGGAGAUAGAUAUCGACAUGUUUUAAAGCAUUAAUUGCGAUGCAAACAAUGUACGGAAGUAAUUGUGGUUACCCCAUGCUAACUGAAAUAUGUAUUCAUGCAUUCCAAUAACGACCACUUUCUGUUUGUGAUCGUAUCUUCAAACUUGUGAUUUUAAGAUUUUGAAAUAAUGUUUACUUAAGUGUUUGUUAAAUAUACUCUAAUAUGAAGUCGUUAAUGUCAA
Molecule: unclassified non-coding RNA, 2584 nt
Filed under: Haliotis rubra (blacklip abalone)
Lineage: Eukaryota; Metazoa; Mollusca; Gastropoda; Lepetellida; Haliotidae
Description: glycine receptor subunit alpha-2-like, transcript variant X1
Source: RNAcentral